UAUGGUGUGACGUGAGCGUUGGACGUAAGCGUAGUAGCCCUAUUUGAGUGUUUAGUUCAUAUAGGGGGUAUGGACACAUAUUUAUACACCCGUCUGUCCACCUUGAUGGCGUAGUGUAGCACCGCAUUAAGGCGUGACGUGAGCGUUGGACGCGAGCGUAGUAGCCCUAUAUAGACCCAUGAAUUUAUAUAGGGAGUAUGGACGAGUGUAAAUACAUACUUAUAUUAUAGAGUCUGAGAGGCUCGAUAUUUAUAGGAUAAAAGUUUUAUCGCUUGCGGCAUGCAUUCGAUUUUUCCUUAGAAAUUAAUUUGGGGAAACAUAAAUAUUUUAUUUAUUAUUUUAUUUUUGUCCACUCACUCUAACGUUAUUAAAUGUUUUCCCCUGGGCCCUUCGUUUUAAAUUGCCCAGUCUGCAGAGUUCGGGUUGGAUCUAGUAGGAGGCGAGGCAUAGUCACCCGCAUUUCUGCCAGUUUUCGCCAGUAGGUUACCUGUUCAACCUACUCGUGUUUUCUUGCUUCCGCUUGUGUUUAGUAGCUCUGAAUACUUUAGAAUUUUUGUAUUUUAUGCGAUGUUCAGAAGUGAUAAAUUAAGAGUGUAAUUUGAAAUUUUCGAGUUAGGGUUGUCCAUCUGCAAGGGAGAUUUUCUUAAUCUUUUCAGUAAAUUUUCCUUGGAGGUGGUCCCCGCACGACUUACUCUGGGUUUCAGGGUGAAAUUUGGGGUGGGUCGUGUCAGUUGGUAUCAGAGCUAUAGGUUUCCUUUUCCUGCAUCCUUGUCACUAUCACAUUUGCCUAAGUAGCAUGUAGUGUCUAUAGAGUGAUGAUCCGACCGCGGCGGAUUCAUUGGCAUUUUAUGCUUUUGAUGCUAUAUGUUAUUGGGUAUAUGUGAUUAUUGUGUUAGUCUUGUUUAUGGACUACUAAAUUUCUUCUUCCUCAGGUACUAUGCCUCCUAGGCGCCCACGGCAACCCCGUGUGGCUACUUCGACCAAUGCCGAUGAAGGCAAUGAGGUCAGGGGACUGGUUGAUGAUAUUGGAAAUAUGCGG
Molecule: long non-coding RNA, 1039 nt
Filed under: Fragaria vesca (wild strawberry)
Lineage: Eukaryota; Viridiplantae; Streptophyta; Magnoliopsida; Rosales; Rosaceae
Description: long non-coding RNA (FVES_LNC004529)
Source: RNAcentral